Long non-coding RNA from Dermochelys coriacea (leatherback sea turtle), 2959 nucleotides. RefSeq lists it as uncharacterized. NCBI's taxonomy places the organism in Eukaryota, Metazoa, Chordata, Testudines, Dermochelyidae. The record is from RefSeq and is a predicted model, not a curated record. The transcript has 3 exons.
AAAAAAGAAAAGCAGCCAAAACUAUUUACCAAAUACAAUGUGAAUUCAUGACUAGUUCUGGGUGACCUGAAAUUGCGAAUUUUUUGGCAAAUAACAUAUUAGUCUGUGAAGGGGUGUGCAUAUCCCGCAUUGGGCAAGAAAGGAUUAACCCCACACUAUGGGCGGCGGAAGUCCCGCCUCUCAGACCAUGACGGCCAUGUUCCAACUUCUGCCUCAGUAUAAAAGGGAGCAGCCCAACUCAUUCGAGGCUGAUCACUGAGGAGGGAGGACACUUGGUGGAGGCUCCAGGCCAGGAACUGCUACAGCCACUGACUGUGGGAACCAGAGAACCCGAAGACCAGAAUGGAGACCUGCUACCUUCAAUCAACCAUCAGGAGUCAAACUUCCAGGGAGCUAUCCCCCCCAAGGAACCCCCAGGACCCCAACAAUGGACUGCUACCUCAGAGUUCCAACCAAUGCUUUUGGAAAAAGCAGCCUGGAGGAAAUGGAAUAUACCGCAGCUAGAUUUGCCAGCCAAAUGUUUGUCCAGAAGAAAGAAAAACAAAUCCAAGGGACACACAGUAACCAAAGAGAGCACCAGUGAGUAUGAGGACAUUAUAUGGGUGACUGAAUAGUGGUAAACACAGCACAAGAAGACCCUAGGAAGCACCAGAAACUAUUAUAUGCAGCCAUGUUACUUGGGAAGAAAGUGAUAUGAUUUCAAUUAGAUUGUGGCACAAAUUGUAACAUUAUCCCGAACAGUCCAGUGAACCCAGACAGACAGUUGGAAGAGACUAACCUGCUGUUAACAAUGUAGAAGCUUACUGCUUUAAAGCCUAUGGGGGAAAUGUAAAAUGAAAUUAAGAAAUCCAAGGAAUAAACAAAAUACAGACUGGACUUUGUGGUCCUAGAUGGUGAGACAGCAGUCCCACUUCUGGACAGCAAGAUUGCCCAAGUCAUGAACCGGACAGAAGUACAGUUCCAGAACAUAAUGAAAGUGGAUAGCAGAGUGACUGAAGACACAUUGGAUGGAAUUACCUGGAAUAAGGAGAUGAUACAGAGGGAGUAUAGAGAUGUGCUUCAGAGAGAAGACGGCUAGACUGUGUUUAUAAAAUAGAGAUUGACACCGGUGUAAAGCCAGUUAAAUUGGCAAAAAGUACCCAUUGCAUUACUGCAGCAACUGAAAGACAAACCGCAGAGCCUACAGCAUCAUGGAAUGAUGCUGCAUAUUGAGAAGAUCACAGACCGGAGAAGCAGCCUUGCGGUGGUAAGAAAGCCCUCCAGAAAACUGAGAAUAUUUAUAGACUCAAAGCCCUUCAACAAAGCUUUGAAAUGGAACCAUUUCCCUCUGCCUACAAUUGAGGACAUAGUACCAGGUCCAUCUAAAGCGAGACUCAUUACAAUGUGCGAUGUAAAAAAUAGAUUCUGGCGCAUCAAACUGGAUGAAGAAUCCAGUUACCUGACAACCUUUGCAACUCCAUUUGGGAGAUACCAAUGGUUAAGGAUGCCAGUGGGAAUCAGUCUGGCACCAGAACACAUUACCCCAAGUGCUGGAGGGCCUGAUGGGAAUCCGGUCAAUAGCAAACAAGGUGCUGAUAUUGGGAGAGAGGGACGAUCCAGAGCAAGCACAACAAAAUCAUGACCACAGAUCACUACACAUUUUGCAAAGAAAAGAACGUUAAAUUGAACUUGGAGAAGUUCCCAUUGAGAUUAACCAAGGUGCCAUAGAGGCUAUCCCAGGGUACAGUCCUAAUAAACGAGUACCUGUGUCAUCCCUGCCCUGUAACCUGGGGUGCCCUUUACAAUUCUUUGUUUUCAGCACCUGGCCAGCCAAUUACCUAAUAUCGCCACACCUACAAAAGAUAUUGAGCAGUAUGUCAUCCACCUACGGGGUGAAGAUCUAUUUCACAAGGCCUAGGCUUCAUUUUGAUAAGUUGCAAGAUGGCAGGAUAUGUAUUAGUGGUGCAAUGGGCUAGCACUGCCCAUUUCGAACUGCAUCACCUUUUGAAAGCCCUUUGCAGCCAAUAUGGACAAUUCAUUCAUGAUUUGGUCACCUGUACUGAAAGCGCAUGAGCAUGUGGAGAAGCUUCUUACAGUAUCUUGCAACAGGAUAAUCACUCCCAUUGCUGCUCAGCUCAGAUCCACUCCCUAGAGGAGGGCUGAUUGUAGCCUUAAGACAGGGCAAAAUUACAGAUGGUCAUAAAAAGGUUUGGAGUUCUUUUUUAUGUAUAGCAGAGCUUUUCCCUAAUGAUAGCAGUGAUUCAGACAGAAGUUCCCACAUGCAUUCUUCUCAUGUGUAUGAUUAUGAGGCAUGAAGGAAAAAUGCUUUCUAUACACAAAGUGGCAAAGAUCAAGAUAAAGAUUUAGCCAGCUGUAGAUUUUUGUUUAAUUGCUGCUAUUUACAACAUCCCUCUGCAAAGUCUGAAGAGAUAAGCCUACAAUAAACAUGGCUGUGUUUACACAUAGGCUUGAAUAUGCAUAAUUAAUACACGCCCCCCUUCCCCCCCAGGCAUUGCUAAGACAGUGAAGUUUGAUGAUUCACACUCUUCCUGGGAGAAGAGACAAGCUGGAAUACACCCUCCAUCCUGAACUUAUCAAUGGCUAUUCAAGCAACGGCAAUGAACGCAGUUGGAGAAUGAGCAAAAGGCAUCUUUAUUUGUAAUGCAAAAAGUGAAAAUCAAGCAGAAGGUCUGACAAACAUGUAUUUCCACGUUUAUCUUGAUUCAGGGUGAAAACAAAUGGCAAAAUAUCAGAAUUUCCCAAUUUUCAACCGGCUUUAUUAAUGCCAUUUCUUUCUCUCAGCCAAAACCAUGGGCCAAAUUCUGCCCUUAAGAACUUCACUGGGGAAGCAGGGAUGAAACUGAAAACAAAGUUUGGUCCCCUGUUUAAAGAAUCCCUUCCUACAUUCUCGGCAAUGCCCCAAGUUGUUAAAAGUGAAAUUCCUUUUUUAAAAAAAUAUAUUUUCCCCAUUGACACUGUA